UUGAAGAGUUUGAUCAUGGCUCAGAUUGAACGCUGGCGGCAGGCCUAACACAUGCAAGUCGAACGGUAACAGGAAGCAGCUUGCUGCUUCGCUGACGAGUGGCGGACGGGUGAGUAAUGUCUGGGAAACUGCCUGAUGGAGGGGGAUAACUACUGGAAACGGUAGCUAAUACCGCAUAAUGUCGCAAGACCAAAGAGGGGGGACCUUCGGGCCUCUUGCCAUCGGAUGUGCCCAGAUGGGAUUAGCUUGUUGGUGGGGUAACGGCUCACCAAGGCGACGAUCCCUAGCUGGUCUGAGAGGAUGACCAGCCACACUGGAACUGAGACACGGUCCAGACUCCUACGGGAGGCAGCAGUGGGGAAUAUUGCACAAUGGGCGCAAGCCUGAUGCAGCCAUGCCGCGUGUAUGAAGAAGGCCUUCGGGUUGUAAAGUACUUUCAGCGGGGAGGAAGGGAGUAAAGUUAAUACCUUUGCUCAUUGACGUUACCCGCAGAAGAAGCACCGGCUAACUCCGUGCCAGCAGCCGCGGUAAUACGGAGGGUGCAAGCGUUAAUCGGAAUUACUGGGCGUAAAGCGCACGCAGGCGGUUUGUUAAGUCAGAUGUGAAAUCCCCGGGCUCAACCUGGGAACUGCAUCUGAUACUGGCAAGCUUGAGUCUCGUAGAGGGGGGUAGAAUUCCAGGUGUAGCGGUGAAAUGCGUAGAGAUCUGGAGGAAUACCGGUGGCGAAGGCGGCCCCCUGGACGAAGACUGACGCUCAGGUGCGAAAGCGUGGGGAGCAAACAGGAUUAGAUACCCUGGUAGUCCACGCCGUAAACGAUGUCGACUUGGAGGUUGUGCCCUUGAGGCGUGGCUUCCGGAGCUAACGCGUUAAGUCGACCGCCUGGGGAGUACGGCCGCAAGGUUAAAACUCAAAUGAAUUGACGGGGGCCCGCACAAGCGGUGGAGCAUGUGGUUUAAUUCGAUGCAACGCGAAGAACCUUACCUGGUCUUGACAUCCACGGAAGUUUUCAGAGAUGAGAAUGUGCCUUCGGGAACCGUGAGACAGGUGCUGCAUGGCUGUCGUCAGCUCGUGUUGUGAAAUGUUGGGUUAAGUCCCGCAACGAGCGCAACCCUUAUCCUUUGUUGCCAGCGGUCCGGCCGGGAACUCAAAGGAGACUGCCAGUGAUAAACUGGAGGAAGGUGGGGAUGACGUCAAGUCAUCAUGGCCCUUACGACCAGGGCUACACACGUGCUACAAUGGCGCAUACAAAGAGAAGCGACCUCGCGAGAGCAAGCGGACCUCAUAAAGUGCGUCGUAGUCCGGAUUGGAGUCUGCAACUCGACUCCAUGAAGUCGGAAUCGCUAGUAAUCGUGGAUCAGAAUGCCACGGUGAAUACGUUCCCGGGCCUUGUACACACCGCCCGUCACACCAUGGGAGUGGGUUGCAAAAGAAGUAGGUAGCUUAACCUUCGGGAGGGCGCUUACCACUUUGUGAUUCAUGACUGGGGUGAAGUCGUAACAAGGUAACCGUAGGGGAACCUGCGGUUGGAUCACCUCCUU
RNAcentral lists this ribosomal RNA (1539 nucleotides) under Escherichia coli. Its description in RNAcentral is "bacterial SSU rRNA". It matches the Rfam family "Bacterial small subunit ribosomal RNA". Lineage: Bacteria; Pseudomonadati; Pseudomonadota; Gammaproteobacteria; Enterobacterales; Enterobacteriaceae. The record is from RNAcentral.